AGGGGUAGAGCUCAAUAGUAGAGCACUUGCCUAGCAUGCACGAGGCCCUGGGUUUAAUUCCUAGUGUUUCCA
This 72-nucleotide transfer RNA is filed under the name Ictidomys tridecemlineatus (thirteen-lined ground squirrel). RNAcentral's name for it is "Spermophilus tridecemlineatus (thirteen-lined ground squirrel) tRNA". It matches the Rfam family "tRNA". From Rfam's summary of the family: Transfer RNA (tRNA) molecules are approximately 80 nucleotides in length. The record is from Rfam by way of RNAcentral. Lineage: Eukaryota; Metazoa; Chordata; Mammalia; Rodentia; Sciuridae.